Molecule: ribosomal RNA, 669 nt
Filed under: Anabaena sp. LCRNK24
Lineage: Bacteria; Bacillati; Cyanobacteriota; Cyanophyceae; Nostocales; Nostocaceae
Description: bacterial SSU rRNA
Rfam family: Bacterial small subunit ribosomal RNA
Source: RNAcentral
GGCCUUAUAUCCCCCGGUUUGCAACCUGAAGAUGAGCUCGCGUCCGAUUAGCUAGUAGGUGGGGUAAGAGCCUACCUAGGCGACGAUCGGUAGCUGGUCUGAGAGGAUGACCAGCCACACUGGGACUGAGACACGGCCCAGACUCCUACGGGAGGCAGCAGUGGGGAAUUUUCCGCAAUGGGCGAAAGCCUGACGGAGCAAUACCGCGUGAGGGAGGAAGGCUCUUGGGUUGUAAACCUCUUUUCUCAGGGAAGAACACAAUGACGGUACCUGAGGAAUCAGCAUCGGCUAACUCCGUGCCAGCAGCCGCGGUAAUACGGAGGAUGCAAGCGUUAUCCGGAAUGAUUGGGCGUAAAGCGUCCGCAGGUGGCUGUGUAAGUCUGCUGUCAAAGAGCAAAGCUCAACUUUGUAAAGGCAGUGGAAACUACACGGCUAGAGUGCGUUCGGGGCAGAGGGAAUUCCUGGUGUAACGGUGAAAUGCGUAGAGAUCAGGAAGAACACCGGUGGCGAAGGCGCUCUGCUAGGCCGCAACUGACACUGAGGGACGAAAGCUAGGGGAGCGAAUGGGAUUAGAUACCCCCUUAGUCAGAUAGGACGGGUGAGGUAUCGAAGACCAUUAACACGAUAAUCCUCAGGAGUGAGAUGUCNGUGGGAUACAACAACCUCCAA